RNAcentral lists this transfer RNA (73 nucleotides) under Staphylococcus epidermidis. Its description in RNAcentral is "tRNA-Ile". The record is from RNAcentral. Lineage: Bacteria; Bacillati; Bacillota; Bacilli; Caryophanales; Staphylococcaceae.
GGGUCUGUAGCUCAGCUGGUUAGGAGCACUGUGUUGAUAACGCAGGGGUCGUUGGUUCAGCUUAGACCCACCA